GAGACAGUGUUUCAGAAAGCCUGGGAGUUUCGUAGACAAGCAGCUUUCCACAUGAUGCCUAAAUUCGGAUUAAUACUGGUUCUGCUGCUGGCUAAGUCUCUGGCCCAGGAGGACCCACUGCCCAUUUUUAAAGUAGUAGGAGAAACAAUGGAGAUGGGCUUUUGCUUUGGAGUGGACUAUAUGACAGUGCACAAAAUAAAUGAGGGAGAAAAGCAACUGUUGUGGAACUCCUCGAACUCAGGCUCAUCUUCUGAGGCUUCCAAGAACCGGCUCAAUGCUUCCACCAGUUUCCACGGACUACUUGGAUUGAAAAUUAUGGAUCUCAACGUAUCCGAUUCAGGAGUAUACUUGAGAGAAUGCUGGCUUGAAGGAAAUGUUACUAUCAGUCAGACAAGCUACCUGUACAUGUGUGAAAAAGAGAGCCCAUCUGAAGACGUUUUCUUACAAAAUGGAGGUGCAAUGCUAGUUUGUGACAUCAGUUACUCUGAACAUGAAAGCACUAGUAUCAAAUGGUUCAGAGACGUGUAUCCUAGAUACAAAAUGUCUUUGUUUUUUGAUACCGAGAGGUCACAGGAACCAUUAGAGGAGGACCUGAACGAUGCUCUCCAAGUGCAUGAUAACGGCUUUUCACUUUACAUCUCAGAGACCGGCCUGGAGGACAACCAGAAUUUCUACUGCCUUGUUAUGAAUAAGGAUCAAUGCAAGAGCUUGAAGAAAAUACAUCUGCCAGAGAACAAUAAGCCUGAGAUGCAGCCUGUUUAUUAUGGUGUGGGAGAGAAGGCCGCUCUGUCGUGUAUACCGGAGCAUCUGCAUAAGCAGCAAAAUUACUGGACAACACCUUUUGGAAAUGUUACUCCAACUACACCACACAGCCAGAUGUAUAUAUCAAACAGUGAAGAGUCUAGAGAUCACUUACUGGUUAUACCUUCUAUCACUCUCAAUCACUCUGGGGAGUAUAUAUGUAUGUCGAACUCAGUUGUAUUAGAAUACUACAUUACUGUUUGCUCUGCACUGGUGUCAGAUAAUGUCCAGUUGUACAGUGGUAAUAAGGUUAUCCUGUCUUGUACUUUGACUCAAGAUUUGCCUGUUAACAUCCUGUGGUACAGACAUAGAGAGAUUACGGAACUCAUCUAUGACUCAGGGGAUCCUUCUAUAGACAUGCCUGUUGAUAUGAUAGGCAGAACGCAUAUUGUAGAGUCAAAUGCCUCACUUAUAAUCACUGAACUUAAUCAGAAGGACAGUGGAACAUAUUGGUGUGUAGUGCUGCUGGAGAGUGUAGGACAGGAGACUGUUGAUUCCUUAGAGGAUGAGGAGAAGGAGGAGGAGGAAGAUGACAAUAUGGAAGAUAGUUUUGAAUGGUUAGACCAGGAAGAAAAUACAGAAACGUGCAUUUUUAAGAAAGUGACACAAUUGGAGAUUCCAGUCAUUAGUAAAAGCUCCAAAACUGAGUCUGUGUCUGAGUCUAGUCCAGUUCCGUAUGCUAUAAUUGGGGGCGUGCUUGGUAUAGUGAUACUGGGGCUGAUCAUAGUUGUGGUGAAGAUGAGAGCUAAGAGAAAAACCUUGCACUCAACUAGGGCUGAGUCCACAGCACAGCAAAAGGACUCAGUUGUAUCUGCACCACUCAUGUCCUUGUAAAUGCUUGUAGCCUAGAACUUAAUAUCAUUUCUCAUAUAUCAUACUUGUCUCCUCUUUCACUUAAAUGCCUAUUCAUAUUAGCAAAAGAAAUACAGAUCUGUAAACAUAUUUACUUUUCAACAGAAGUCCUAAUGUAUCAAUAUUUACCAAGGAUAAAUGUUAAGGGCAUUCAGUGGAAAAUAAGAAAUCCUCAUUUACAUUUGUCUGUUAAUAUUUCUUCCAGUCCUGAGACACCCUUAUCACAUUCUUAAAACAAGCAAAACAAGAAACUACGCAGUGCACAAGCAGGUUUAGGACUAAAGAUAGAAAACACUCAUGCAUGUUAACUGGUAUAUUAUGAAAAGGUGAUCUGAAUUCUCAGUUUUCACUGCAGACAAUGACAAAGGAACUGGGGGAAGUUUGGCUCGGUUAUGCAGUUGUAAUCAGGCAUGGGUGUAAAAUGCGAAACAGCUCCGGGCAAAAAAGUGACAUAUCCUCAUAAGAACAGUUGGUUUGUUUC
This is a long non-coding RNA of Ictalurus punctatus (channel catfish), 2134 nucleotides long. NCBI's taxonomy places the organism in Eukaryota, Metazoa, Chordata, Actinopteri, Siluriformes, Ictaluridae. The record is from Ensembl.